GCAUAUCAAUAAGCGGAGGAAAAGAAACCAACAGGGAUUGCCUUAGUAACUGCGAGUGAAGCGGCAAGAGCUCAAAUUUGAAAUCUGGCACCUUCGGUGUCCGAGUUGUAAUUUGUAGAAGCAUCUUUUGGAUUGGUCCUUGCAUAUGUUCCUUGGAACAGGACGUCAUAGAGGGUGAGAAUCCCGUUCAUGGUGGGGAAUCCAAUUCUUUGUAAAGUGCUUUCUAAGAGUCGAGUUGUUUGGGAAUGCAGCUCUAAGUGGGUGGUAAAUUCCAUCUAAAGCUAAAUAUUGGCGAGAGACCGAUAGCGAACAAGUACAGUGAUGGAAAGAUGAAAAGAACUCCGAAAGGAGAGUGAAAAAGGACGUGAAAUUGUUGAAAGGGAAGUGCUUGAGAUCAGUCUUAAGGUUUAGUGAUCAGUCUUCCUUUUGGUUGGUGCACUCACUAUUUCUUAGGCCAACAUCAGUUUGGGCGGCAGGAUAAUGACAUUGGAAUGUGGCUCUUUCGGGAGUGUUAUAGCCUUUGUUGAUACUGCCUGCUUGGACUGAGGACUGCGCUUCGGCUAGGAUGUUGGCAUAAUGAUCUUAAGCAGC
Molecule: ribosomal RNA, 591 nt
Filed under: Lipomyces yamadae
Lineage: Eukaryota; Fungi; Ascomycota; Lipomycetes; Lipomycetales; Lipomycetaceae
Description: eukaryotic LSU rRNA
Rfam family: Eukaryotic large subunit ribosomal RNA
Source: RNAcentral